GCAGAAUAAUCAGCGAAAUAUCACUUAUAGAGGACAUUCAAGAUACCAAAAACCCGAAAAUCCUAUACUAUCACCCACUCUGAGUCUCCCACCUUCCAAUGGCAGAGGGUAAACUGACAUUUGCCACAUUGAAAGUAAGGUGACUCUAACAACCACAAAGAGAACUGGAGUUUAAGACACUGAGACUUGUGACUGUUGCCUGGAAAAUUAUAUACUCAAGAAGAUGGACACAGUUUAGCUUGAAGACAGCAGGAGGGGAGGGAAAAGGAAGGGUUGUAAUGGGAGUGGGCUUCACUUCCUUGGACAGCAAGGUGAGUGUGUUCAUUUCCCAUGGACAAGAUAUAGGCAUUCCAGUAUGCAUACUUGGAGGAACAAGGUGUUUCCAAUGUUAUUCCCAGAGACAGUCUGGUGGGAUUGAAAUCUAGAGAGGAGUUUCAAACAAUGGAGACAUGUCUACAACAGAAAUCUACAAAGAGAACCAUAAGGAAAACACUCCAAAAUAGAAACAACAUUUGGACUGAGAGCAUUAAAACAGUCAAGAGAAAUUCCAAAUCACCUCUGGUAUAUGUAACCUUCUGUGCUUCCUUAAUCUGUCUCAUUUUUUCUUUACUCUACCCAACCCCAGAAGAAAUAGAAGAGCCAAAUGGAGAGCAGGAAAAUACCAGAGGGAGUAAUGAAAAGAUCUGAGGAUGAGACCUUACUGCUGCAAUCUAAGGAAAAUUCAACAUAAGGAAUGCAUACCUUUGCAAGAAGAAAAGGAAAAAGAGAAAUAGUAAGAAAGACGGUGUAUUCCAACACUGUGUAGCAUGAGCGUCCUAGUCCAUGUUUGAGAAACACUCCAGUACAAGCUGCUAGGUGAAUGAGGAUGCUGAAGCUCUUCCUGUAGGAAAGGAUUUGAUCUCACAAACGAGACAAAGAAUGGGAACCUGUGUGGUGAACUUCUGAGAUCUGUGAUUUAGUCCAAGGACGGACCAAGUAUUUCUCUACUCUCUAGACAACAGAAUUUUGAUAAACUUCCAAACACUAACAAAGCUGGAGCCAGAAAGGCUCUCACAAAGAGGCAAUGGUGGAGAUAAAAGCAGACGUCAGCUUUAGCAAAGGCUCAUAUUGUCUGCGCCAGAAGUAACUGAGCAGGACCACCACUGUCUGUGUCUGCUUCUCCAGUUGAUGAAACCUAUGUACCCAGCCACCCU
Molecule: long non-coding RNA, 1193 nt
Organism: Talpa occidentalis (Iberian mole)
Lineage: Eukaryota; Metazoa; Chordata; Mammalia; Eulipotyphla; Talpidae
Exons: 4
Source: RefSeq, a predicted model, not a curated record